Molecule: ribosomal RNA, 590 nt
Filed under: uncultured archaeon
Lineage: Archaea
Description: bacterial SSU rRNA
Rfam family: Archaeal small subunit ribosomal RNA
Source: RNAcentral
UUCCGGUUGAUCCUGCCGGACCUGACUGCUAUCGGAUUGAUACUAAGCCAUGCGAGUCAUUGUAGCAAUACAAGGCAGACGGCUCAGUAACGCGUAGUCAACCUAACCUAUGGAUGGGAAUAACCUCGGGAAACUGAGAAUAAUGCCCGAUAGAACACUAUGCCUGGAAUGGUUUGUGUUCCAAAUGAUUUAUCGCCGUAGGAUGGGACUGCGGCCUAUCAGUUUGUUGGUGAGGUAAUGGCCCACCAAGACUAUUACAGGUACGGGCUCUGAGAGGAGUAGCCCGGAGAUGGGUACUGAGACACGGACCCAGGCCCUAUGGGGCGCAGCAGGCGAGAAAACUUUGCAAUGUGCGAAAGCACGACAAGGUUAAUCCGGGUGGUUUGUGCUAAACAGACCUUUUGUUAGUCCUAGAAACACUAACGAAUAAGGGGUGGGCAAGUUCUGGUGUCAGCCGCCGCGGUAAAACCAGCACCUCAAGUGGUCAGGAUGAUUAUUGGGCCUAAAGCAUCCGUAGCCGGCUCUGUAAGUUUUCGGUUAAAUCUGUAUGCUCAACAUACAGGCUGCCGGGAAUACUGCAGAGCUAGGGA